This 175-nucleotide ribosomal RNA is filed under the name Anodontostoma chacunda (Chacunda gizzard shad). RNAcentral describes it as "partial small subunit ribosomal RNA". Lineage: Eukaryota; Metazoa; Chordata; Actinopteri; Clupeiformes; Clupeidae. The record is from RNAcentral.
CACCGCGGUUAUACGAGAGGCCCAAGCUGAUAAAUCCGGCGUAAAGAGUGGUUAUGGACAAACACAUCACUAAAGCUAAAGGCCCCCUAGGCUGUUAUACGCACCUGGCGGUUUGAACCACUAACGCGAAAGUAGCUUUAACCUUAUUCUACCAGAACCCACGACAGCUGGGGUA